CCUACGGGAGGCAGCAGUGGGGAAUUUUGGACAAUGGGCGCAAGCCUGAUCCAGCAAUGCCGCGUGCAGGAUGAAGGCCUUCGGGUUGUAAACUGCUUUUGUACGGAACGAAACGGUCUGCUUUAAUACAGUGGGCUAAUGACGGUACCGUAAGAAUAAGCACCGGCUAACUACGUGCCAGCAGCCGCGGUAAUACGUAGGGUGCGAGCGUUAAUCGGAAUUACUGGGCGUAAAGCGUGCGCAGGCGGUUAUAUAAGACAGAUGUGAAAUCCCCGGGCUCAACCUGGGACCUGCAUUUGUGACUGUAUAGCUAGAGUACGGUAGAGGGGGAUGGAAUUCCGCGUGUAGCAGUGAAAUGCGUAGAUAUGCGGAGGAACACCGAUGGCGAAGGCAAUCCCCUGGACCUGUACUGACGCUCAUGCACGAAAGCGUGGGGAGCAAACAGGAUUAGAUACCCUGGUAGUCCACGCCCUAAACGAUGUCACUGGUUGUUGGUCUUCACUGACUCAGUAACGAAGCUACGNGNGAGUAGACGCGNGGUAAGGUCGCGCGAGUAGUUAAGUUAGAANAGAGUUGNGNGNGAGAGNGCGACGCGACGACGAGGAGGAGG
RNAcentral lists this ribosomal RNA (610 nucleotides) under uncultured bacterium. RNAcentral's name for it is "bacterial SSU rRNA". The stretch from base 1 to 537 matches the Rfam family "Bacterial small subunit ribosomal RNA", at positions 338 to 873 of the family's 1533-position model. The record is from RNAcentral.